GAAAUUGGAGGGAAAUUAGGGGGCGAAUGAUGUCUGCUAGUACUUGAAAUAUUAUCUGAGUCCAUUUUCAAAUUGGUCCUGACAAGAACUGUAUUUACUAUAUAUACUAUAUUUAGAUAAAACAAUAACAAGAUCGCAAAUCCCUAUUUGUUUACAAUUUAUACAAUAGACAGCCUAAGUCUGACGUCACAGAGACGGGCGGAGGUUAUAACGACUCCAAACAAUUCAUUGAUAAUGGAUGGUAAAUGCUCAUAAGCAAUUUUUCAUUUAGUGUUUUCGUGGUUUAUGUGAUAGAAUAAGACUUGUCAGUUGAAUAUAUUGUUGAAGGAACGUACUAUUUAAGAGGUUUUUAUUAGUUUUUCACCAGAUCCUUUUGUUGUUAAGAAAAUAAUGGCUUUUAAAUAUGUCCUAAAACUUUCCAGCACCAGUGCUUGUAUAGAAUACACAACAAAAUUAUAAAAAGGGGUGAAAACGCCUAGAAUCCAGUCAUGUGAAGAAAAUGGACGUUGAUUCUGAUUUGCUGGUAAUCAGAGGGGAAGUAUUUGCUAGUAUGAAAGACAGAAGCUACAAGGUAUCUAUGACUUUGAUAAGGUAAUAAGGAAUUACAUUCAAUCACAUUGCGGCGUUGGCACUUUUUGGGCAUUAUAAUAUAUCUGUAACAGAUAAAGCGUGUGCAUGGAAGGCACUACUUAAACUGAAAGUUGGGCCAGUGAAAUUUGCAGAAGAAUUUUACCCACCAAAGCUCUAUACACCUCUUGAAGGUGGGGUACCAAAAGCAUCAAUCAACAGAUUGAAGAAAGGGCUACACAGCUUUGGAAAUACUGUUGGUUUUACCUGUCUAUUGAAUGAGGAAUCAAUAAAUUUGCUGGAAAAUGGAUUUCCAGUAAUUGAAGAAAUAAUUUCUUCUAAGGACUUUUUGGAGGCCACUGUGUUCAAAGAAAAAUGUGCUGUUGAUGAUCAGCUAAUAAAAUAAAUAUCUGUCACCUCUACUGGCCAGGUAUCAAAUGAAAAAUGGUACCUUGAAAGAACAUUUAGAUUAACUGCUAGCAGCUUCGGUGCUAUUAUUGCAGCGUGCAGGAGUGCAAACAGAUUCUCAGUGAGUUUGUUCAACACACUCUUAGGCGAGUAAUAAAUCAUAAAUUUAUUACAUAGUUUAGUCAUACAUGUUAUCAAUAAUUUGCUUAUUGAGCCUCUAAGAUUGAUUUUUUAAAAAGUAGUCUUUUCAAAAAUGGUAUUUUAUGUAGCUUUUCCUUACUUUAGUUUAAUUUGACAUACAUUUUUUAUUAUAAUCAAUUCAUCAUUUUUCCAGGUGAAUACAAUUUGGAUGGUAUCAAAGCAAUCCAGUGGGGUAGAACUCAUGAAAAAUGCUCAUUUGAAGCAGAUUUAUAAUUUAAAUGUUCGGCCAACUGUACGGUAGUAUGGCUUACAAAUUCAGGACUUCUUGGUGCUAGCCCUGUUGGAAUAAUUGAUGAAGAAGAAAAGCCAUUGUAAAAGUGAAAUGCCCAUAUUCUUUCAGAAAUGAUAAGUUGUCCAAAAAAUUGAGGAAUUUUAAAAAAUAUAUAGUUUUUUAUGACAAUGAGGGUAACUUGAUCAUAAAUACAAGUCACAAUUAUUAUCACCAAAUUCAAGGAGCUUUACAUAUUUUAAAAAAGAAAAAAUGUUACUUAUGUAUUUAUACCUUGAAGGAAACUGUUGUGACAAUUGUAGAUUUUGACGAUUCAUGGAAAGAAAACAUUUCACUCUUGGAAAAUUUCUAUAUAGAACAAUACUUACCAAAGUUGUUAGACAAUUAAAUUAAAAUUUUUGACAUGUUUUUCAAUGUGAUUUUAGGUUAUUCUACAGUGUAAGGAGAUAGUUGGACAAAUCUUUACUAUUUUUUUAGACUGAAACGCCACUCUAUACAAAUUUUUGUUCAGGAAAUUAUGUUUUUUAAUAUAAAUGUACAAUGCUAUUUUGUCAAUAAAGAUUUUUAAAACAAA
Diorhabda carinulata is the source of this 1979-nucleotide long non-coding RNA. RefSeq lists it as uncharacterized. The record is from RefSeq and is a predicted model, not a curated record. The transcript has 2 exons. NCBI's taxonomy places the organism in Eukaryota, Metazoa, Arthropoda, Insecta, Coleoptera, Chrysomelidae.